Molecule: ribosomal RNA, 491 nt
Filed under: uncultured Glomus
Lineage: Eukaryota; Fungi; Glomeromycota; Glomeromycetes; Glomerales; Glomeraceae
Description: SSU rRNA
Rfam family: Eukaryotic small subunit ribosomal RNA
Source: RNAcentral
AGCAGCCGCGGUAAUUCCAGCUCCAAUAGCGUAUAUUAAAGUUGUUGCAGUUAAAAAGCUCGUAGUUGAAUUUCGGAAUCAAUGGAUCGGUCAUGCCACUCGGUGUGUACUGGUUUGAUUGGUUCUCACCUUCUAAGGAACCGUGAUGUCAUUAAUUUGGUGUCGCGGGGAAUUAGGACUGUUACCUUGAAAAAAUUAGAGUGUUUAAAGCAAGCUCACGCUUGAAUACAUUAGCAUGGAAUAAUGAAAUAGGACAUUGUAUUCUAUUUUGUUGGUUUCUAGGAUCGAUGUAAUGAUUAAUAGGGAUAGUUGGGGGCAUUAGUAUUCAAUUGUCAGAGGUGAAAUUCUUGGAUUUAUUGAAGACUAACUACUGCGAAAGCAUUUGCCAAGGAUGUUUUCAUUAAUCAAGAACGAAAGUUAGGGGAUCGAAGACGAUCAGAUACCGUCGUAGUCUUAACCAUAAACUAUGCCGACUAGGGAUCGGAUGAUGU